This 104-nucleotide ribosomal RNA is filed under the name Mastacembelus armatus (zig-zag eel). The record is from RNAcentral. Lineage: Eukaryota; Metazoa; Chordata; Actinopteri; Synbranchiformes; Mastacembelidae.
GCCACACCAUCCUGUAAAUGCACAAUCCCUUCAGCUCUUGGAAGUUAAGCAGGGCUGGGCAUAGUUAGCACUUGGAUGGGAGACCACCUUGGAAGACAAGGGGC